This 289-nucleotide unclassified non-coding RNA is filed under the name Spiroplasma sp. BARC 4906. Its description in RNAcentral is "partial 16S-23S ribosomal RNA intergenic spacer". Lineage: Bacteria; Bacillati; Mycoplasmatota; Mollicutes; Entomoplasmatales; Spiroplasmataceae. RNAcentral also lists the same sequence under 1 other name. The record is from RNAcentral.
UUUCUAUGGAGUUAAUCAUAGUAAAUUAGUUUAUAUAAGCUGAGCGAAUCGAUAAAACAGCUUAUGACUAAAUCUGGUUCUAUCUAGUUUUCAGAGAUUGUUUAGCAUUUAUAUAAUAAAUGCUCUUUCUCUGAAAAAAAAUUGUUCUUUGAAAACUGAAUAUUAGAUGAAAAUAGACAUUUUAUUUUUCUUACGUUUCAUAUUAAAAAAAACGUAUAUAGUAACUUUAAAAUUAAAUUACUAAGAAAAACUGAAAUUUCAUAUUUAUUAGAUUAUCUAUAAUGCAAAA